UACGUAGGGAGCGAGCGUUGUCCGGAAUUACUGGGUGUAAAGGGAGCGUAGGCGGGAUGGCAAGUCAGAUGUGAAAACUAUGGGCUCAACUCAUAGACUGCAUUUGAAACUGUUGUUCUUGAGUGAGGUAGAGGUAAGCGGAAUUCCUGGUGUAGCGGUGAAAUGCGUAGAGAUCAGGAGGAACAUCGGUGGCGAAGGCGGCUUACUGGGCCUUUACUGACGCUGAGGCUCGAAAGCGUGGGGAGCAAACAGG
RNAcentral lists this ribosomal RNA (253 nucleotides) under Ruminococcus callidus. RNAcentral describes it as "partial 16S ribosomal RNA". It matches the Rfam family "Bacterial small subunit ribosomal RNA", at positions 524 to 776 of the family's 1533-position model. The record is from RNAcentral. Lineage: Bacteria; Bacillati; Bacillota; Clostridia; Eubacteriales; Oscillospiraceae.